Molecule: ribosomal RNA, 253 nt
Filed under: uncultured bacterium
Lineage: Bacteria
Description: partial 16S ribosomal RNA
Rfam family: Bacterial small subunit ribosomal RNA
Source: RNAcentral
UACGAAGGGGGCUAGCGUUGCUCGGAGUUACUGGGCGUAAAGGGAGCGUAGGCGGAUAGUUUAGUCAGAGGUGAAAGCCCAGGGCUCAACCUUGGAAUUGCCUUUGAUACUGGCUAUCUUGAGUACGGAAGAGGUAUGUGGAACUCCGAGUGUAGAGGUGAAAUUCGUAGAUAUUCGGAAGAACACCAGUGGCGAAGGCGACAUACUGGUCCGUUACUGACGCUGAGGCUCGAAAGCGUGGGGAGCAAACAGG